UACGGGGGGGGCAAGCGUUGUUCGGAAUUACUGGGCGUAAAGGGCUCGUAGGCGGCCAACUAAGUCCGACGUGAAAUCCCCAAGCUUAACUUGGGAACUGCGUCGGAUACUGGAUGGCUUGAAUUCGGGAGAGGGAUGCAGAAUUCCAGGUGUAGCGGUGAAAUGCGUUGAUAUCUGGAGGAAUACCGGUGGCGAAGGCGGCAUCCUGGACCGACAUUGACGCUGAUGAGCGAAAGCGUGGGGAGCGAACAGG
Molecule: ribosomal RNA, 253 nt
Filed under: uncultured bacterium
Lineage: Bacteria
Description: partial 16S ribosomal RNA
Rfam family: Bacterial small subunit ribosomal RNA
Source: RNAcentral